This 257-nucleotide unclassified non-coding RNA is filed under the name plant metagenome. RNAcentral's name for it is "partial contains small subunit ribosomal RNA, internal transcribed spacer 1, and 5.8S ribosomal RNA". The record is from RNAcentral.
GUUCCGUAGGUGAACCUGCGGAAGGAUCAUUGAUUCCAUCGUAUCCACACCGAGAACAACCCCAUGUUGGCCUGGCCGCCAAAGGUCCCCUUUGGUGGUCACCUGCAGCCCGGCUGGCUUGCCAGCCCGACUGUGGGGGCCGGGUUCACACCUGGCCGGCUGUUUCUCCCAUUCAAACCAAUAUCUGAAGGCAAUUGCCUGCUCACACGAGCGGCGACUAACAAAGACAACUCUCAACAACGGAUAUCUUGGCUCCC